UUCGCUUUAACGCUCUUCGCUGGAGCACCUGUCCACCUUGACACCUUCCAAUCGACAAUCUGCAAUCACUGCUGAUAGCUCCACCUCUCACCUCCGCGUUGGAAUCGGCCAUGUAUGUUCAGUGUUCUCUCCAUUUCUCUCUUCUCUCUUUCUCAAUUGGACCACCAUCCCCAUUCCAUCAGCCCCCUGAUUAAGUUUAAUUGAGUUUUAUAUUCAGUUCUUCAUAAUGAAUGUCUGAAUUUACAUAUUAUACUAAAUUACUUACUUCAAAUUGAAACACCAAACCCAGAACUUGAGUUUACAAAAUCUGACAUGUAAUUAUGAUGACCUGAGAGGAUUAAGGGGUUUCAUGAAGGGAUUGGAAUUGCCAAUUAAUGGUUGGUGGCCUUCAAAUUCAUCAACUUUUUCAUUUUCCGGUUGCUGCAACUAGGUCAGUAUCAAUUAGAAUUCCUCUUCUGGUAGGAUUGUUAGAUUAGAACUCCUGAAUCACAUAUUAACGGACAGUAGCUCCGAGUCAUUUUCUAAUUUAAAUAGGGUUUUACCACUUAACAUAAACCUGCCUGCACUUCAAGUAUUAGAUAUAUCUGAUAAUACAUGAUACUCUUGCAUCUUGCCAAAAGAUAAAAGCUUUAAAUCUUACCAGGAAUCCCAAAUUCAAAGGCUAAGUCCCACAAACUCUCAAGAAUUUCCCUUCUCUUUCUUACCUUUCACUUUCCAAUUGUAGCCUCAAUGACCUCUCAACGGCUCUUAAAGUUCUCCAAUACUACCACAAUCUAACUAUUUUAGCUGUUACUAUGAACUUCUAUAAUGGACAGUUGCUACCUGAUGAU
Molecule: long non-coding RNA, 830 nt
Filed under: Lactuca sativa (garden lettuce)
Lineage: Eukaryota; Viridiplantae; Streptophyta; Magnoliopsida; Asterales; Asteraceae
Description: long non-coding RNA (LSAT_LNC006894)
Source: RNAcentral